RNAcentral lists this ribosomal RNA (117 nucleotides) under Periophthalmus magnuspinnatus. Lineage: Eukaryota; Metazoa; Chordata; Actinopteri; Gobiiformes; Gobiidae. The record is from RNAcentral.
GUUUACUGUUGUAUCUUGGAAUGUACAAUCUCGUUUGAUCUCAGAAGCAAAGAAGGGUUGGGAAUGGUUAGUAAUGGGAUGGAAGACCGCUGGGAAAACCAAGUGCCAUAGCAAAAU